This 580-nucleotide ribosomal RNA is filed under the name Ascomycota sp. C47. RNAcentral's name for it is "eukaryotic LSU rRNA". The stretch from base 220 to 373 matches the Rfam family "5.8S ribosomal RNA". The record is from RNAcentral. Lineage: Eukaryota; Fungi; Ascomycota.
GUCGCCGGUACCCGGUCCCCCCCUAAACAAGGGGGCCCGGGGAAGGUCCUCUCACACCCUUGUGUACCUUACCAUGUUGCUUUGGCGGGCCGACCCGGUUUCGACCCGGGCGGCCGGCGCCCCCAGCCCUCACCGGCCAGGACGUCAGGCUAAGCGCCCGCCAGUAUACAAAACUCAAGCGAUUAUUUCGUGUAGUCUGAUAAAUCAUUCAAUUAUUAAAACUUUCAACAAUGGAUCUCUUGGUUCCGGCAUCGAUGAAGAACGCAGCGAAAUGCGAUAAGUAAUGUGAAUUGCAGAAUUCCGUGAAUCAUCGAAUCUUUGAACGCACAUUGCGCCCUCUGGUAUUCCGGAGGGCAUGCCUGUUCGAGCGUCAUUUCAACCCUCAAGCUCUGCUUGGUAUUGGGCGACGUCCGCUGCCGGACCUGCCCGAAAGGCAGCGGCGACGUCCGUCUGGUCCUCGAGCGUAUGGGGCUCUGUCACUCGCUCGGGAGGGACCUGCGGGGGUUGGUCGGACAAUCGACCUUCGGUCUAUUCUUCCAAGGUUGACCUCGGAUCAGGUAGGGAUACCCGCUGAACUUAA